This 779-nucleotide long non-coding RNA is filed under the name Struthio camelus australis. Its description in RNAcentral is "lncRNA (ENSSCUG00000000641.1)". The record is from RNAcentral. Lineage: Eukaryota; Metazoa; Chordata; Aves; Struthioniformes; Struthionidae.
GGAUGUAUUUUAAUUUAUUUAUUAUUUUUCCAUUUUCCCCCACUUUAAAGUUGGCUGUUGACUUCAGUGAAAUUUUCCCUGGACUCAUGAAGUUAUCGAGUUUCUGAAUAACAAUAGGUUCUUCUUUUUAGUAUGUAUCCACAGAGCCUGCAACCUACAAUGCUAAAAGGUUAUGCUGCAAGGCAAGAUAAAAUGCUCAAGAGUCCUUCCAGAAAACUUAAUUUCCAAUUGAACAGCCAACGCUGCAUAUCGACUGAUGGGAAGUUCUACCACCUGCAAGUGGAAUGUCAACUACCACUCCAAAGGAAAAAAAAACAGACUGUACUUCUCAGUGGAACGAGGGAAGACACUACUGGUCAAUGAAGUGCAAUCUCCAGGAGACCCAGGGAUCAGCUAAUGAUGAGACACUCUCUCCAAUGGCAUUUAUCCUACACAAGUCUGCAGUGAUUUACUGUGUAACAACUCCCCAUCAUGUAUCUGGAAGGAGCUUCUCCGCUCCCCUUGGUUUCUGCCUUUCAAGAUACUGCGCUGCAUGAUGAUUAGCUUCAUAGGGAAAUGGCUGCUGUCGACAAACCCAGUCAUCCAUGUUGUACACUGCAUUACCUAAAUCCCAGGGGAGUGUCUGUCUGCAGGUGAAUGCUAAUGGCAGAAUCCAUUGAGAUCCAUGGCCGGUGUUACUCUGUGUAUUUGCAUACAGAAGUAUCUGUAAAGAUUCCUAUUAUUCUGUUUCCAUAUUUUUUUCACGACAGUCAUUCUUUGAGGACAGAGUUAUAGAAAUG